AUCACGGUCGGGAGAUUGCCGCUUCCCCUGCAUUUGGUUCGUAUACUACAGAUUAAGCGAACGGAGACUGUUACUGCAGACGGGGAAGGUCUACUAAACGGCGGUUUUUCCUAAAGACACUGGAGGUGUCUUAACAGUGGGUGGGGGCCCUUAACUAGAAUAAGGGAGACGACCUGUUGUCCUCCCCUCCGGCCCUCACCCCUGAGUGGUGGGUGGGGGCCCUAAAUACCAAUAAAG
This is a non-coding RNA of Pelobates cultripes (western spadefoot toad), 237 nucleotides long. Lineage: Eukaryota; Metazoa; Chordata; Amphibia; Anura; Pelobatidae. The record is from the annotation of a GenBank genome assembly.